UGGGGAAUUGUUCACAAUGGGCGCAAGCCUGAUGACGCAACGCCGCGUGGGGGAUGAAGGUCUUCGGAUCGUAAACCCCUGUCGAAUGGGACGAAUAAUCCGCGAGCUAACACAUCGCGGAAAUGACGGUACCGUUAAAGGAAGCCACGACUAACUCUGUGCCAGCAGCCGCGGUAAUACAGAGGUGGCAAGCGUUGUUCGGAAUUACUGGGCGUAAAGGGCGCGUAGGCGGCCAUCUAAGUCAGACGUGAAAUCCCCCGGCUUAACCUGGGAACUGCGUCUGAUACUGGAAGGCUUGAGUAUGGGAGAGGGAUGUAGAAUUCCAGGUGUAGCGGUGAAAUGCGUAGAUAUCUGGAGGAAUACCGGUGGCGAAGGCGGCAUCCUGGACCAUUACUGACGCUGAGGCGCGAAAGCUAGGGGAGCAAACGGGAUUAGAUACCCCGGUAGUCCUAGCCCUAAACGAUGAAUACCUGGUGUGGCGGGUAUCGAUCCCUGCCGUGCCGAAGCUAACGCAUUAAGUAUUCCGCCUGGGGAGUACGGUCGCAAGGCUGA
RNAcentral lists this ribosomal RNA (552 nucleotides) under uncultured Acidobacteriota bacterium. RNAcentral's name for it is "bacterial SSU rRNA". It matches the Rfam family "Bacterial small subunit ribosomal RNA", at positions 355 to 897 of the family's 1533-position model. The record is from RNAcentral. Lineage: Bacteria; Pseudomonadati; Acidobacteriota.